Molecule: unclassified non-coding RNA, 232 nt
Filed under: air metagenome
Description: partial contains small subunit ribosomal RNA, internal transcribed spacer 1, and 5.8S ribosomal RNA
Rfam family: Eukaryotic small subunit ribosomal RNA (bases 1-46)
Source: RNAcentral
AAGUCGUAACAAGGUUUCCGUAGGUGAACCUGCGGAAGGAUCAUUACAGAGUUCAUGCCCUUCGGGGUAGACCUCCCACCCUUUGUAUACAUACCAUUGUUGCUUCGGCGGGCACUCGCGUGGCUGGCUUCGGCCGCCGCGCGCCCGCCAAAGGACCCCUAACUCUGAUAUAUUGUGUCGUCUGAGUACUAUAUAAUAGUUAAAACUUUCAACAACGGAUCUCUUGGUUCUG